GGAUAUUGGCUGUUGAGAGCCAAGGAAUAGCACAAAGUGAACUUAAGCAUAGCAGCUUUCAUCCUUGCUCCAGGGAAAGCUUUCCCUAAAGUAACAACUCUGCUUUGUUAGGGGAAUGUUUCCCCCAGGGAAAGUGUUACAGUUCUGCUCUGCUCUGCUCCAAGGUGGCUCCACUGUGGCUAAUGUUCCCUCUCCGCUCUGUUCACUUCUGACAAAAGAUGGUCUCCUCCAAACCUCAUUCAAGAGAUUAUUUUCGGGGAAGAAUCUAGAAGCAUGACUGCCUCUGCCAGAAAGAAAAAAGGCAGUUACCAACUGAACAGGUGGGUGCUUGAUAGUGUAUACAUGGAAUCCUGUAUUUCAUUUCAUGAAAUUUCAGAAGGAGAUCUGUCCCAGACCAGUAACGAUUAAAGGACAGGGGUAAAUGGUUUUAAAUGGGAGGAAGUGUGGUGAGAACAGGAGUGUGUUUACUAUAACAGUAUACACUAUAGGAAACAUACCAAGUUCAAAGAAUUUAUUUUAUUUGAAAAUAAAAGUCAAAGAGAAUAAUUACUUUUGCCUUAAAUAAACACUACCAUUGGUUCAUA
Long non-coding RNA from Peromyscus eremicus (cactus mouse), 584 nucleotides. RefSeq lists it as uncharacterized. NCBI's taxonomy places the organism in Eukaryota, Metazoa, Chordata, Mammalia, Rodentia, Cricetidae. The transcript has 2 exons. The record is from RefSeq and is a predicted model, not a curated record.